Molecule: long non-coding RNA, 266 nt
Filed under: Vigna radiata
Lineage: Eukaryota; Viridiplantae; Streptophyta; Magnoliopsida; Fabales; Fabaceae
Description: long non-coding RNA (VRAD_LNC015530)
Source: RNAcentral
UGAUGGCAGUGAUGAUAGCCUCUAUUGAUGGAUGCUUCUACAACAUCUACUGAUGGAUGUUAGGUGAUAUGGCAUUUACUGAUGGAUGCCAAUGAAGAUUAGAAAGAUUAGCAUUUACCGAUGAAUGCUACCGGGAUAGCAUCUACUAGGGGAUGUUAGAAGAUAUAGGUAUCCACUAAAGGAUAUCCGGAAGGUACACCUACUGAUGGGUGGUGGAAGGUAGUGCACUUAUUGACAAGGGCUAACCAGGUUUGGGUCAGGCUCGU